RNAcentral lists this ribosomal RNA (253 nucleotides) under uncultured bacterium. RNAcentral describes it as "partial 16S ribosomal RNA". It matches the Rfam family "Bacterial small subunit ribosomal RNA", at positions 524 to 776 of the family's 1533-position model. The record is from RNAcentral.
UAUGUAGGGUGCAAGCGUUGUCCGGAAUUAUUGGGCGUAAAGAGCUCGUAGGCGGUUUGUCGCGUCGGCUGUGAAAUCCCGAGGCUCAACCUCGGGCCUGCAGUCGAUACGGGCAAACUAGAGUGUGGUAGGGGAGACUGGAAUUCCUGGUGUAGCGGUGAAAUGCGCAGAUAUCAGGAGGAACACCGGCGGCGAAGGCGGGUCUCUGGGCCAUAACUGACGCUGAGGAGCGAAAGCGUGGGGAGCGAACGGG